Molecule: ribosomal RNA, 165 nt
Filed under: uncultured bacterium
Lineage: Bacteria
Description: partial 16S rRNA
Rfam family: Bacterial small subunit ribosomal RNA
Source: RNAcentral
UAGGGAAUCUUCGGCAAUGGGGGCAACCCUGACCGAGCAACGCCGCGUGAGUGAAGAAGGUUUUCGGGUCGUAAAGCUCUGUUGUAAGAGAAGAACGUGUGUGAGAGUGGAAAGUUCACACAGUGACGGUAACUUACCAGAAAGGGACGGCUAACUACGUGUCAG